AAAAAAGAAGAAGCCUUCCAGCUUGCCAUAGAAGACCCCUAGGAAUGGAUAAUGGCACUGAGAGCUCUCGCAGCUGAGAACAGUGCUUCUCCCCAACAGCUAUCUGCAUGUAUCAGAAUCUUCCCGAAGCAUGGAUCAUCAAUUGAUAAAACCAAAAAGAGGUACAGUAAAGACACUUCCUAUAUGCAAGAAUCUUCGUAAAUAGCAUCCAUACACACAAAUAGUUCACAAAAGCUGUAGAAGCUAGAAACAAGUGAAAAUGAUUUUCGUGAAGUCACCAGUGUAAAAUGUAAGUGUGAAAGUGAUGCUUCUAUUGUUCAAAUACAAAUAAAAUAUUAAACAAAAGCAUUCCAAGUAUUGAUCAUAGAAAUGUAUAAAUAGUAGAAAUGGCUUAAACAGUGUUUUAUAAAAUAUUUUUGAGCAAUAUCACAGAAUGCAGCUUAUCACAGCUGUGCUAAGUAUAAAAACAACACAGUUGCAGGUGUGAUUGCUUUUAAAUAAAUGUGCAGUAAGUACGGAGUUACUUUAAUUUCAGACAGAAUUUGGAUAGUUUGUAAUUAUAGUUGUUGUUGUAGUUAUUAGUAUAGCUAUUAGCACUCUUGUAAUGCUAAUCAAAUUAGAAGGCUGAAACCAAUGGUAUGAAACUAAAAUGCAACAUAAAUUACAAAUCCCAAGUGCUCAUACCCAGCACAGCAGGUUGAGAUUCAUGCACACUGCAAAAUCUACUUUAACUGUACAAUAACUUACAUUUUCUAUCACUACAACAGCACACACAUAUUUCCAUUUUUAUCAUGUGCACUGACAGGUUGGGAGUGCCUUCUAGUGUGGAAAAAAUGGUUAAAUAAUAUAUGAUGCAUUAUAUUCUUCUAAACAACUUUGAAGAUAUGAACAUUUUAUCAAACUUGGGAUCCCACAAAGGUCCCUAUGAGCAUAUACAAUCAUGUCAGUACUAAAAUGUACAGAUGUUUGAUAUUGCAGUAAAUAUAUUAUGUCAAAUUACACAAAUAAUUCUUUUGGACAUUUUGCAGUAAAAACAAAAUAAAGAU
Molecule: long non-coding RNA, 1046 nt
Filed under: Sinocyclocheilus anshuiensis
Lineage: Eukaryota; Metazoa; Chordata; Actinopteri; Cypriniformes; Cyprinidae
Description: lncRNA (ENSSANG00000003341.1)
Source: RNAcentral